UUUUAUGGAGAGUUUGAUCCUGGCUCAGGAUGAACGCUGGCGGCGUGCCUAAUACAUGCAAGUCGAGCGAACAGAUAAGGAGCUUGCUCCUUUGACGUUAGCGGCGGACGGGUGAGUAACACGUGGAUAACCUACCUAUAAGACUGGGAUAACUUCGGGAAACCGGAGCUAAUACCGGAUAACAUAUUGAACCGCAUGGUUCAAUAGUGAAAGGCGGCUUUGCUGUCACUUAUAGAUGGAUCCGCGCCGUAUUAGCUAGUUGGUAAGGUAACGGCUUACCAAGGCAACGAUACGUAGCCGACCUGAGAGGGUGAUCGGCCACACUGGAACUGAGACACGGUCCAGACUCCUACGGGAGGCAGCAGUAGGGAAUCUUCCGCAAUGGGCGAAAGCCUGACGGAGCAACGCCGCGUGAGUGAUGAAGGUCUUCGGAUCGUAAAACUCUGUUAUCAGGGAAGAACAAAUGUGUAAGUAACUGUGCACAUCUUGACGGUACCUGAUCAGAAAGCCACGGCUAACUACGUGCCAGCAGCCGCGGUAAUACGUAGGUGGCAAGCGUUAUCCGGAAUUAUUGGGCGUAAAGCGCGCGUAGGCGGUUUUUUAAGUCUGAUGUGAAAGCCCACGGCUCAACCGUGGAGGGUCAUUGGAAACUGGAAAACUUGAGUGCAGAAGAGGAAAGUGGAAUUCCAUGUGUAGCGGUGAAAUGCGCAGAGAUAUGGAGGAACACCAGUGGCGAAGGCGACUUUCUGGUCUGUAACUGACGCUGAUGUGCGAAAGCGUGGGGAUCAAACAGGAUUAGAUACCCUGGUAGUCCACGCCGUAAACGAUGAGUGCUAAGUGUUAGGGGGUUUCCGCCCCUUAGUGCUGCAGCUAACGCAUUAAGCACUCCGCCUGGGG
Molecule: ribosomal RNA, 897 nt
Filed under: Staphylococcus warneri
Lineage: Bacteria; Bacillati; Bacillota; Bacilli; Caryophanales; Staphylococcaceae
Description: bacterial SSU rRNA
Rfam family: Bacterial small subunit ribosomal RNA
Source: RNAcentral